Molecule: long non-coding RNA, 4849 nt
Filed under: Olea europaea (common olive)
Lineage: Eukaryota; Viridiplantae; Streptophyta; Magnoliopsida; Lamiales; Oleaceae
Description: long non-coding RNA (OEUR_LNC015040)
Source: RNAcentral
GACUUUACAGAAUUAUAACCCAAUUAGUGUGAAAUCUCUCUCAAAUCACUUCCUCCCAUUCGCGAAGAACCCUAAGUAUCUGAACCAAGAUCCUCCAAAAAUCUCUCAAAUCCUAUCAUCCUGAAAUCCAUUUCUACAAAAUCUCACAUGAAGUCUCUGUAUUCUGAAAAUCCAUUCAAUUCAUUCGGGUAAUUUUUAUCAUGCACCGUGGUAUCCCAAAUCACGUCGUCUAAUUUUUGUGAGCUUCAAAUUCAUCUACCUCAAGAUAGAAAGGUAAUUUUUGUUUAUGUUUGUUGUAAAAUUGUUCCCAUGAUAUGGUAGGACACGAAUUGAUGAUUUUUGAAUGGAAAAUUGGUUUUGUUUAUAACUCAUUUUAUUUUUGGUUUGCAUCUUCGUCUUUCCGAUAAUGGUCAAGAACACUACUUUCUAGUCGUUAAUGGAGGAAAAACAUGUUUAUACCAUUCCUCUCCAUAAUCCAAUUAACACUCAUUUUGGGUAUUCUGCCAAUGUGAAUGUUGGGUAUUUUUUGUUUGGCUCUAAUAAAGAUAGCUCAUUGUUGAAUCCGGUGACUGGAAAAAAGGCCCUGUUGAUGAAACUACUUUGACCGUUGAAGGAUUUGAAUCCUGAUGGAGCUACUUUGCUUGUUGAUGAAAUGAAUAACACUAAAUUAAAAUUUGGAAGUAGGUGUGUUUUAGGUACUGAAUUUCAGAAAAAGCCUCCUAUUUAAACUCUCGAAUGAGAUGAAGGGAUUAAAGAUUGUUAAUUUUGCAGUGUUGCUGAGAAGAGUAAAAAAUUUGGCAGCAAUUCAUCUGUCUGUCACUGCCAAUAACAUAUUCAUGUUUGCAAUCAAUGGAAGGGGGGUAUCCGUUGCCUUUGUCCACCAUUUAUGGUAAUAGGAACUGGGACUGGUUGUGCUUGGAAACAGCUACAAUUUGCUUCAUUAAAAAUACUGGUAAUUUGUUCUAUUUUACUGUAUUAUUUUUUAUUGCAUUCCCAGUUCUAUCAUUAUUUGUUUAUUUAAUUAAUGUUUAAUGACACAUCUUUAUGCUUUUUGUCCUUCAUUUAUCUCAGUUAAGUAUGUUUAUAGAAUUAUUAGUAUGUUUAUAGAUAGUGUGUAGAAUAAUUUAAUUUAUAAUUUGUAAUUAGUUAAAAUUGUAUGUUUUAUUCGAAAGAAUCAUUCUAUUAACUUUUAGGGUCAGUUUGAUUGUAAAGAUGAAAUUUGGAUAGAAAGAAAAUGAAUUUCAGGAAAUUGAAUUGUCUAAAAAUUAUUUUACUGAGAAUUAUCAAUUAUUGUGUUUGAUUGAUAUAAUUUUUUAUGUGAAAAAUGUUAAAAUAAAAGUAUUUUUUGAUGUUCGUUUGACUUUAUUUUACAUAAAAAUUGUCAAUUAAAGGGAUAAAAUUUACUGGUAUUGGGGAUAGAAUUUGUUCCUCUUGCCCAAAGAAAAAAAAAAAGGAGCCAAAAAAAUCAUCUAUCUUUUGGUGUUCAUUUGACUUUGUUUUAUAUGGAAAUUAUCAAUUAAAGAAAAAUAUUUUUUUACAAUUAAUGAUAGAAUUUGUUUUCAAUGCCAAAAAAAUAAAAAAUAAAAAUUGGCAACUUACCUAGAAAACCAAUUCCCACCAUUCCUUGAAAACUAAGAAAAGUCCACUUUUCAAAAAAACCAAGCAAAUGAAUUACAUGGAAAAUAUUUGCUAUCAAACACUAUCAAAAGGUGGAAAAUAGACAAAAUUUUCCAUUUUCCAUGGAAAAGAUGCCCAAUCAAACAGGGCCUUAAUAUAUUUUUCCAACAGAAAUUGUGUAGUUUUAGUUCGAAAAUUUUUAAUAUAGUUUCAGUAUAUUAUUUUCAUAUUACCAAUAGAAUUUUAUCAUUAAAAUUUCUUAAUUUAUUUUUUAGGAUUUUGUUUUUUUUAUAAAUUAAAAAUUUAAAAUAAUCUUUAAUUAAUAGGUAGGAUUGAUUGAAAUUAAAAGUAUGUGAAUUUUUAUUUUUAUUUUUGUUCUUUUUUACAACAAGCAAUAAAUAUAGCAAAUCCUUGUUGCAAAACACACUUUCUCGCAACAUUUAAUGAUUGUUGCAAAAUGUUGUAUCGUAAGAAUUUCAACAAUAUGUACUGAGCAUUGCUAUAGAACAAAAUUUUAAACAGUUCAAUGAACAUUGCAAAAAAAAAAAAAAAAGGAAGAUUAAAACUUUUGCAACAUAAUAAAAAAAAAUUAAAACUUUUGCAACACUCAAAGAACGUUACAAAAAGCUAUAUAUCAAGAGUUUCAAAAACGUUUAUUGAACGUUACUAUAGAACUUUAUUUUUACAACAUUCAUUAAACAUUGCGAAAAAUAAAACUUCUUACAACAUUCAAGAAACGUUGAAAAUGGUAAUAUUGACAACAUGCAAUUAAAAAAAAUAUAUUGCCAAUGCUUAAUUAAAUUAAUCAAUAGCAACAUUUUUCACUUUUUAAAAUGUUGCAAUAAACCAUUUAGCAGCAUACAAUUCACGAAUAUUGCCUUUUGAAUAUUGCAAAAGCUAUUUUAAUUGUAGUGAAAAUUCGUCAUAUGUAUAUAAAAAUUCAUAUGUCAUUAAAUUAAUUUCAGUACACGUGAUAAAUGAUCAUACCUAAAAAAAUUAUUACCUUCACUAAACUUUGAAAAAUUAAGCUUUCGGACCGAUAACGUAUUAUGAAAAGAGAUAGAAAAAGCAGGGAAAAUAAAAGUCAAUAGACUUGUAUGUAUUAUAAUAAGAACUAGAGCCAUGUAUUCAUAAAGAAGGAUUAUGGAUACAAUGAUAAUAAUUUCUAAAUUUAUAGGGGUACAAUUGUCAUUCACAAAUAAAACUUACCAUUUACAACAAAAUGGUCUUUUUUUUUUUUCUUCAAUUUGCUCCUAAAAAGUUUAUUGAUAGCAACAAGAUAAGUCGGACGUUCUCUUUUUUGAAUUUUAAGAGGCGCGUAGGACAUUUUGAUCUUCAUUUUUCGUCCCAUUCAUUUAUGUAUUUACUUAUUUAUAUAUUAUUAUGCGUUUAAAUUUAAAUUUUAUUCAAAAAAAAUUUUAAAAAAAAUAUUAUGAAUCAUGGAUGGGUUUGUGAUAGCGAUCAUGUUUCCUAACCAAAUGCCUAAUAAGGAUUAUAGAAUUCCCGACCUUCAAUCCACGUGGCGCGUUCCGUCCCACAUUGUCCUUCCUUGAAUAGUAAACGAGGCGGGAUGCAAAACCUAUAGUCCCUAGUUUCGAAUUUUUAGUACUAGCUCUGAAUCAUUUUUCAUUAUUAUAUUUCAUUUUAUUGUUAUGUUCUUCAUUUAAAUCAUAUUUAAGAAAAUUUAAUUAAAUAAAUAAAAUGAUGAAUGAUGUUUUUUAUGUCUCAACCUACCCUACAUUCUGAAAAAUCAGAACGAAACAAGAAUGAUAUGAUGGUUACUAUCCAUUGUCAUCCUUAAAUUCAAAUUUCUUGUUGGGCGAAGUAACUUGGGGCCAGAGGCAGUCCUGAGGGCGCACGAGUUGAGCGAUCGCACAGGGCCUCAAAUUUGUAAGGGCAUCAAAAAAAUUUUUGUUAUAAUUGUAUAUUUAUUUAUAAUUAAAUAUUUAAAAUAUAAAAUUUUUAUUAUUAUGCAAAAGAUAUUAAAAUUAAGAAUAAUGUGACUAACUAGUUAUAAUUUUCUUGAAUAUAAUAUUCUUAAAUAGCGUUCCUACCUUAAAUAAUGUGAGGAAAAAGUAAAAAGUCAAAAAGAGAUUAGCCCGACUAGAGAACUGAGAGAAGAGAGAAAAAUUGAGCAACUACAUUUUCCAAAUCGUCUUUUUGGAGAGAAGAAUUAAAGAAAACAACAAUCUUUUCCAAUUGCCCCAAAGAUAAUUGAGGUAGAGAAAAUAGAAACCAACCGUUUUUUUAUUUGUUUAUUUUUUUUUUUGAAGAAAUCAUCUUUUUUUCCAAUCAUCUUUAAUCUGGCUCCAAAAGAUUCUCUUUUUUCUUUAAGCAACGACUGACGAUUCAUAUUUUUCACUGAACUCUCACUGAAAAUUUGAAUUACAUGUUAUCUUUUCUUUAUUAUCUUUUCGUUAAUCUUAUUCUAUGAUUUUACUGAUUUGAAUUCUUUUUGCAAGAACUUGUUAAAAUUUGAAUUCAGGAUUGAGGAUUGAGAAAGCACGACAUAAUUUUCCUCCGGAGAAGUUGAACACUUACAAGUAAGUUUUUGUUUCCUUAACAUAUUUUUCUUCAAUAAUUUCUUUGAAUAUUCAAGAAAAUAUAAAUUCGUUUUUAAUAUUUUUUUCUCAACGUUCUGAAGAUGGAUUCAUCGUUUAUAAUUUAUAAUUACUAAUUUAAUAAGUGAAAUCAAUUAACUGUGAAGAGAUUUACUGUUAAGUGAAAUCAAUUAAUUGUGAAAAUGGGUUCACUGUUCAUAAUUUAUAAUUACUAAUUUGAUAAGUGAAAUCUACUAAUGAAAUUGAUUCAUUGAAUUUUUACUACCCUCUAACUCUCUUUUCAUUAAUUUGUGAUACACGGGUUUUCGAAGAAUCAAGAUUGAUUUAAUUCCUGUUACUGUUGUAUCUGCUGAAAGAAAAUUUUCAAAAUUGAAGUUAUUAAAAUCUUAUUUAUGAUCAACCAUUUUACAAGAACGAUUGAAUGGAUUCGUUUUGAUAUCUAUUGAGCAAGACUUUCUAAAAAAUAUUGAUUACGAAAGUUUAAUUAGUGAAGUUGCUUUUAAAAAUGCGAGAAAAAAUAUUUUUACAUACUUUGUAUCAUUUCAAGCUUUACACUUGACUUGAUUUAUAUAUUUGUUUCAAGGUUUGCUUAUAUGGAAUUGCACGAAGAGGUUAGUGGUUUGGAUGGUUCUUUGUUGAUGACACAUGAAUUUUGAUGAAGUUCGAGAGAU